This 492-nucleotide ribosomal RNA is filed under the name uncultured soil bacterium. RNAcentral's name for it is "bacterial SSU rRNA". It matches the Rfam family "Bacterial small subunit ribosomal RNA", at positions 26 to 529 of the family's 1533-position model. The record is from RNAcentral.
AGGAUGAACGCUGGCGGCGUGCUUAACACAUGCAAGUCGAACGGUGAAGCCCAGCUUGCUGGGUGGACCAGUGGCGAACGGGUGAGUAACACGUGAGCAACCUGCCCCUGACUCUGGGAUAAGCGCUGGAAACGGUGUCUAAUACUGGAUACGAACAGUGACCGCAUGGUCAGUUGUUGGAAAGAUUUAUUGGUUGGGGAUGGGCUCGCGGCCUAUCAGCUUGUUGGUGAGGUAAUGGCUCACCAAGGCGUCGACGGGUAGCCGGCCUGAGAGGGUGACCGGCCACACUGGGACUGAGACACGGCCCAGACUCCUACGGGAGGCAGCAGUGGGGAAUAUUGCACAAUGGGCGCAAGCCUGAUGCAGCAACGCCGCGUGAGGAUGACGGCCUUCGGUUGUAAACCUCUUUAGCAGGAAGAAGCGAGAGUGACGGUACCUGACAGAAAACGCAACCGGCUAACGUACGUGACCAGCACGCCGACGGUAAUCGUA